This 1534-nucleotide ribosomal RNA is filed under the name Staphylococcus aureus. RNAcentral's name for it is "partial 16S ribosomal RNA". It matches the Rfam family "Bacterial small subunit ribosomal RNA". Lineage: Bacteria; Bacillati; Bacillota; Bacilli; Caryophanales; Staphylococcaceae. The record is from RNAcentral.
UUUAUGGAGAGUUUGAUCCUGGCUCAGGAUGAACGCUGGCGGCGUGCCUAAUACAUGCAAGUCGAGCGAACGGACGAGAAGCUUGCUUCUCUGAUGUUAGCGGCGGACGGGUGAGUAACACGUGGAUAACCUACCUAUAAGACUGGGAUAACUUCGGGAAACCGGAGCUAAUACCGGAUAAUAUUUUGAACCGCAUGGUUCAAAAGUGAAAGACGGUCUUGCUGUCACUUAUAGAUGGAUCCGCGCUGCAUUAGCUAGUUGGUAAGGUAACGGCUUACCAAGGCAACGAUGCAUAGCCGACCUGAGAGGGUGAUCGGCCACACUGGAACUGAGACACGGUCCAGACUCCUACGGGAGGCAGCAGUAGGGAAUCUUCCGCAAUGGGCGAAAGCCUGACGGAGCAACGCCGCGUGAGUGAUGAAGGUCUUCGGAUCGUAAAACUCUGUUAUUAGGGAAGAACAUAUGUGUAAGUAACUGUGCACAUCUUGACGGUACCUAAUCAGAAAGCCACGGCUAACUACGUGCCAGCAGCCGCGGUAAUACGUAGGUGGCAAGCGUUAUCCGGAAUUAUUGGGCGUAAAGCGCGCGUAGGCGGUUUUUUAAGUCUGAUGUGAAAGCCCACGGCUCAACCGUGGAGGGUCAUUGGAAACUGGAAAACUUGAGUGCAGAAGAGGAAAGUGGAAUUCCAUGUGUAGCGGUGAAAUGCGCAGAGAUAUGGAGGAACACCAGUGGCGAAGGCGACUUUCUGGUCUGUAACUGACGCUGAUGUGCGAAAGCGUGGGGAUCAAACAGGAUUAGAUACCCUGGUAGUCCACGCCGUAAACGAUGAGUGCUAAGUGUUAGGGGGUUUCCGCCCCUUAGUGCUGCAGCUAACGCAUUAAGCACUCCGCCUGGGGAGUACGACCGCAAGGUUGAAACUCAAAGGAAUUGACGGGGACCCGCACAAGCGGUGGAGCAUGUGGUUUAAUUCGAAGCAACGCGAAGAACCUUACCAAAUCUUGACAUCCUUUGACAACUCUAGAGAUAGAGCUUUCCCCUUCGGGGGACAAAGUGACAGGUGGUGCAUGGUUGUCGUCAGCUCGUGUCGUGAGAUGUUGGGUUAAGUCCCGCAACGAGCGCAACCCUUAAGCUUAGUUGCCAUCAUUAAGUUGGGCACUCUAAGUUGACUGCCGGUGACAAACCGGAGGAAGGUGGGGAUGACGUCAAAUCAUCAUGCCCCUUAUGAUUUGGGCUACACACGUGCUACAAUGGACAAUACAAAGGGCAGCGAAACCGCGAGGUCAAGCAAAUCCCAUAAAGUUGUUCUCAGUUCGGAUUGUAGUCUGCAACUCGACUACAUGAAGCUGGAAUCGCUAGUAAUCGUAGAUCAGCAUGCUACGGUGAAUACGUUCCCGGGUCUUGUACACACCGCCCGUCACACCACGAGAGUUUGUAACACCCGAAGCCGGUGGAGUAACCUUUUAGGAGCUAGCCGUCGAAGGUGGGACAAAUGAUUGGGGUGAAGUCGUAACAAGGUAGCCGUAUCGGAAGGUGC